AACGAACGUUAGCGGCGCGCCUAACACAUGCAAGUCGAACGCGACUGGGGCAACUCUGUUGAGUGGCGCACGGGUGAGUAACACGUAGGUAAUCUCCCCCGAGUGGUGGAUAACCUUCCGAAAGGAGGGCUAAUACAGCAUAAGACCACGGCUUCGAAAGGAGCUGAGGUCAAAGCGGAGGAUCGCAAGACUUCGCGCUUGGGGAUGAGCCUGCGGCCCAUCAGGUAGUUGGCGGGGUAACAGCCCACCAAGCCUAAGACGGGUAGCUGGUCUGAGAGGAUGAUCAGCCACACUGGAACUGAGACACGGUCCAGACUCCUACGGGAGGCAGCUGUGGGGAAUCUUGCGCAAUGGACGAAAGUCUGACGCAGCGACGCCGCGUGGGUGAUGAAGGCCUUCGGGUUGUAAAGCCCUGUGGGGAGGGACGAAUAAGUUUCAGCUAAUACCUGAAGCGAUGACGGUACCUCCUUAGCAAGCACUGGCUAACUCUGUGCCAGCCGCCGCCGUAA
Molecule: ribosomal RNA, 509 nt
Filed under: uncultured bacterium
Lineage: Bacteria
Description: partial 16S ribosomal RNA
Rfam family: Bacterial small subunit ribosomal RNA
Source: RNAcentral